RNAcentral lists this ribosomal RNA (299 nucleotides) under Amblyomma variegatum (tropical bont tick). RNAcentral's name for it is "partial 16S ribosomal RNA". It matches the Rfam family "Bacterial large subunit ribosomal RNA", at positions 2078 to 2619 of the family's 2925-position model. Lineage: Eukaryota; Metazoa; Arthropoda; Arachnida; Ixodida; Ixodidae. The record is from RNAcentral.
AAAUUAAGGACAAGAAGACCCUAAGAAUUUUUAAUAAUUUUAAAAAAGUUUUUUUUAAAUUAUUUUAAUUGGGGCGAUUAACAAAAAUAAGAAACUUUAUUUUUCCAAAAAAAUGAACCAUUAAUAAUGGUCAUAUGAAAAAAAUACUCUAGGGAUAACAGCGUAAUAAUUUUAGAUAGUUCUUAUAGACAAAAUAGUUUGCGACCUCGAUGUUGGAUUAGGAUUCUUAUUUAAUGAAGAAGUUAAAAAAAGAAGUUUGUUCAACUUUUAAAAUCCUACUUGAUCUGAGUUCAGACCGG